GCGCGAAGAAUGCUGGGAUACUGGAGGUCGGCCCAGCGCUUCCUGCGGGUUUAGCGCUUUUUCCGAGUUACAGAGAAAACCCUGUGAGGAAUCAUUUUUCCAGAUGAAUAAUUUGAGACACAGAACUAUCAAGAAACUUGCUAAAGGCCACAGAUCUGCUUUGUGAGUGCUGUAAUUAGAACAAAAUGAAUGUCCUCGGAAUUAAAACCCCACGUCAGUAAUGAUUGACCACAAGGCAGGCUUGUUCAAUUGCACUUCAUCAUUUACUGUUGUACCAAGACCCUUACCAUUAUUAUAUUGUCCUAUGUUAAUUCUUUCAUUCACAUAUAUAGGAUGAGAAACAAAGGAAUAUUUAUCCUAUAUAAUGUUCCUUUAUGAUUUUUAAUACCAUUUUACUGUUGUUUAUGCCUAAAGCACCCAUUCAACUGAUGUUAUAAAUACAAAUUUGAAAUGUGGUAUGUUAUUUCCAUAUACUGUUAUAAUAAUUGAAUAUAGAGAGCAGACCAAAAUAAGAUGAAUGCUAGAAAAUAAACAAAAAUGUGGGAAAAGAGGCAAACUUUACCUAAUUGGGACUGAUAGCAAUUAGUACAUUACAUACAUGGAUGCUUCCUUUUCAUAGGAAGUAAGAUAAAUGGAAUGUGAAACACAAUGCAGAUGCUGUCCAAAUAUUGUGAGAGGGUUGCAAUGGGAGGUGAAAAUGUAGAAUCUGAAAGGCAUCAGUGCAUAUGGCAUCCAGAAAAAUGAGAAUGAUAAAGUAAGAACUUUUUGGUAUUUCCCGAAAUAGUGCCCAGACUUGUGACAGGAAUAUUUAGGUUACUGGUUAGGUAUCACUCUGCAGUGCCAUAAUUACAGGAGGAAAUUUUAGCAAGCUGUUUCAACCUAAAAGUAUUAUUUCUCCUUUAUUUCCUGGCUCCAUUGUCAUUUAACCCACUGCUGUCCUUAGCUCAUUUCUGAAGUAGAUAUCUAGAGAAAAAAUAAUUAACUCUCUCUGUGUAAAUACUUUUCAUUGUAAAUUAAUAAACUUUUCUGGUGACUUUAUGGAACAUAGGCAUAAAUUCAGUUAGAUGAGCUUCUGGAUCUGAGGACUGAGUGAGGAAAGAAAUUUUGGACUAGUGUUCAGCCUAAGCAACAUUGCUAAGUAAAGUGAUAAUGAAAUUAGAAACCAAGCCACAGGGUCUUGUAAAUGUGCUUCAGACUCUCAUUUAUAUUCAGUGAAAUUCUGGUUAUUCUCAUGAGUCAAAUAUUAGAAAUAAAAUGUUAAGUCAAAUUCUCCUUUUUCAGUAUAUUGGUACUGAAGAACUCCUUAGUACUCAGAUAAUUCUGAAUAGGGAUAUAAUUAUCCCAAAAAUAUAUUUGUGGGAGCUGACUUCUGUAUUGUGAAAAUGUCAACUGAAUUUGGUAACACGUACCUGAAAGUUCCGGAAACAUAAAUAUUACCCACAAAUAGGGCGUUGAUAUUUCAUCUUAUUGUUUAUUCUGAACUUCACUCUUAUGAAAAAGCCAAAGGGUGUCAUCCCUUUUCAGGCUAGGGACUAUGACUAAAGAGUUUUAUUUUAUAUAAUUUAUUAGGCUUUUACAAUUCCCCUCAUGCUUCUUAUGUCCUUUUCUGGUGUCAGCAUUCUUAUAGGCUAAAUUUCUAAAGCAGAAAUGGUGUGCAUGUCAAUAUAGUUAGCAAGAAAUUAGGGAGUAUAUUAUCCACUCAAAGCAAGUCUUGGAGAUGAGGAGAGAAAGAAAUCUCUAGAGAUAGAUGCAGUAGGGGCAGUCUUGAAGAGAAAAGGAAUGCAGCCUAUGGAAUUUGUCUUACAACUUGCAAGUCACAUAGUAUUAGAAAUUAAGCCACAGAGCCUGGUGAUAUUAUGUUUCAUAAAAUUCCUAUCAGUAGUUACUGCGAGUCAUAAAUCUUCAUCACGAUGAGUUCCUGGGGCCUACAUGAAAGAAGAACAAAAGCUGUUAUAAAUUACCUUGAGCCAGAGACUGGACCCAGCAGAUUCCAUAGAAUAGACUGCCUGUCUCCUGUUGCUCUCAUUGGAUGAGGGUCUCUUGAAUUAAGCACCAAAAGCAGAAAGCAAAAGGAAAAUAACAUCACAGAUGUGCUGACCAUACUGCACCCUGCCUGCCUAGUUUCUGCCACAGACUCCAUCAGCUCUCCUUUCAGAACCUGCAGUUACCCUCACGGUCUUGUGCCUCCUUCUGAUUAUAUGUUGGGUAGUUUCUACACAUACACCUCUGACUAAUUAAUCUCUACCUCACAUCACCUGAAGAGAUCAAGCAAUGCUGGGUUAAUGCCAAGGGCUCAGGGAUGGUAAGCAGAGGCAAAGCAUGCACAAAUAGGAAAGCCACCACCUAGGUUCUUAUGAAAAGCAUGCAUUUUUAGAAUAUUAGAAAAAUACGCUAUGGUUAGCUUAAUUCUGAAUUCUGGGGUGAAUUCCAAGCAAACUGAAAUUCCCCAUGUCCUGAGCAAAGCAAGUCUGUACAUGUGGUGGCCUUUAUGUCAUCUUCCCAGGUAAUCACUUUUCUCACCUUAGAAUGGUAUGACCAGGUUACCAAGAAUAUUUCCCCUUGCAUGGAGGGGGCUGAUUCAUGAAACAGUGACUUGCACAGUUGGGCCACAGUGUGUCCUGGAUUUUAUGAACUAGCCAAGAGCCAGGGUGUGGGCUGUCUAUGCAAUUCUGCCCCCAACUUGUGUCAGCAUGUCCAGAUAUUUAAGCAAAGUUUAAGUACGUGCUCAUUUGUGUGAAGAAAAAUCCAACAAAGGAAUGCAAUCAUUAUCGGCCUCUGUAUCAAUAGGAAAGUCAAAUCUGGUCAGCAUUUCAAAUGAAUUCAAAUUUAUUAUUUUAAAAAGCUCUGUUAUUAGAAUGUUAGUCCUAAUGCAAUUCUUUUUAUAUAUUAUUUAUCUGAUUCAUUUCAUUAAACUUUAUAAGCCUCCCACAAGGUAGAGUUUUAUCUAUUUUAGAAAUGUAAUACGACUUUUAAAAUACCAUAAUUAAUCAAUAACAAAGUUAAAGAAAAACAGCCCUGAGUUUCUUAAUCUUUAUUUAUUUGGGCAAGAUGGGACAAGGCUAACUUCUGACACUUUUCCCUGAUAAACACAUUUCAUGUGA
Sapajus apella (tufted capuchin) is the source of this 3101-nucleotide long non-coding RNA. RefSeq lists it as uncharacterized. NCBI's taxonomy places the organism in Eukaryota, Metazoa, Chordata, Mammalia, Primates, Cebidae. The transcript is spliced from 3 exons. The record is from RefSeq and is a predicted model, not a curated record.